CUGGGUUUAGACCGUCGUGAGACAGGUUAGUUUUACCCUACUUAUCUCUGGAUAAGAGCGUCUGCUAAAUUACUAAAAUGUAAAUGUAAGUAGUUUUUUUGGGUAUCUGUACUUUACUUGACUAUUUAUAUUUUUAGCAACUUUUACUUUUACUUCACUACAUUCCUAAAGAAAAUGAUGUACUUUUUACUUCAUACAUUUUCCCUGACAUCCAAAAGUACUUGUUACAUUUUGAAUGCUUAUCAGGACAGGAAAAUUGUCUAAUUCACACACUUAUCAAAAGAACAACCCUGGUCGUCCCUACAGCCUCUGAUCUGGUGGACUCAAUAAGCACAUGCUUCGUUUGUAAAUUAUGUUUGAGUGUUGGGGCAUGCCCCUGGCUAUCGUUAAAUAAAAUGAUUUGCUGUCUGGUUUGCUUUAUAUAAGGAAUAAAACUUGUAUAGUUUUCCUUUUGAUACUUAAGUAUAUUUUAGCAAUUACAUGUGCUUUUCACACUUAAGUAUAUUUAAAACCAAAUACUUUUAGGCUUUUACUCAAGUAGUAUUUUACUGGGCGACUUUCACUUUUACUUGAGUCAUUUUGGUGUAUUUACCUUUAAGUAUGAAAAUUGGUUACUUUUUCCACCACUGCCUAUACUCACUUGGUUACGGGUGAGUACCCUUUAUUUUCUUAUUCUCGUGUUUAAAUUAUUUUCCCUCAAUUUAACCUUUGUUUUAUUGUGCCAAUAAAAAUAAAGACAUUUCAUUCCAUAGCUUAAUCCAAACAUUUAUGCAGACCAAUUACUAGUUCAUAAACUAACUCAGGUUUAGCUCUAUGAAGAGUCAAUCAUUUGUAUUGGGCGACACCUUGUGGAUUUAUCUCACAAGUGCUCCUCCUAAUACAGUAAUCCAAUGACAUGUCAAAUACUAUGCCAGCUCAAUCACAUAAUCAAACUAACACUUCAAAUAAUAACAGUCCAUUCUCAUUUUCAUUCAUCCAAAUAGAAGUUCAAUGGUCUGAGAGAAUCAAACUACAUUUUAAAUAUUUCUUCUUUCCAAAGCAUAUAAAUAAUACACAAAUGUUUAAGCAUAUAGAAACAAUAACUCAUCGCACAUGCAUGUUUGUAGCCUCUUAUCAUCUUCUUGUCAUGAUAUGGUUGGUAUACUUCCCACGCUACUCCAUGCAUUUGAUGUUGCUUUAUCAUUCCCAAGUAUCUCCCACUGGCUCUGGGCUUCUGCAUCUAUCCCAUCACUCAAAUUUACAGGUAACUGUCAAAAUACAGGAAACACAGAGUAAAUGAGGGAUACAAGGUAUAUUGAAAGCAGGUGCUUCCACACAGAUGUGGUUCCUGAGAUAAUUAAGCAAUUAAUAUCCCAUCAUGCUUAGGGUCAUGUUUAAAAAUGCCCAGUUGCCCAUUAUUUUGGCUGCUAUGGUUAAAAGAAGAGAUUUCGGUGACUUUGAAAGAGGGGUCUGAAAGGAGCAUAGGGGCUUUAAAGGGUGUGUGUCUCAGUCACCAGAUCUCAACCCAAUAGAACGGCGCCUGAGACAGCGUUUUGCUAGCCUCAUACGAGCCAUACUGAUCUCGGCAGGUUUACUAUCUGUUUCGCUACAUGGAUAUAAUCUGGCCACGACCAGACUCAAACCGUUUGAGACCCUCCCUUCCGUCCACCGUAUGGCCAGACCAAUCAGCAUCCUCUGAUAAUCUGUAGGGGUGGUUAAAUUGUUGAUGACAACGAAAAUCAAAAAUCAUAACAACGACUGGAGGUUGCUGUUAACCGCUGCUGUAGCAGUAUCAUGUCAGAACUGAAGGGCAUAACUUAAUUGAAAGAACAGCAGAUAACUGCAUUGAAGGCUUUUCUCGGGGGAGAAGAUGUUUUUCGUUCUUCUCCCGAAUGGGUUUGCCAAGCACUUGAUUUACCAGCUAGUUCCACUAGUAGUCAAGAAAAUGGGACGGACCAAGAACCCAAUUCUCAUUGUUGUGUUAACGUGGGUCGCUUUAAUGGAGGUUCACAUCACAUUCAAAUGGGGAGAGGUCGCAAAAGGGGAGCGAGCCAUCAGAGAGCUUUGCAGAGUUGGGAAAACUCUGAUCCAUAGCCAAAGAGAGUACACCUGUGUUGGCACUGACAACAUCCGUGCCUACGUUGUCAACAACAUCCAGUAUUCCGAUUGCAACAUACAAUUUACCUGAAGACUUUCUUGGUCUAUAGUAAUUAGUUAGUUAAAUGACAGCUGAGAAAUAAGACUGUUAUUGUUUGUGUUGUUACUUGUCCAAACGUACCAGAUUAAAACUCAUAAUUUUUGCUCAAUACGGUUGGUGGUGUUUCAACUGUUAUCAUUAUGGAUUUUUUCAAAUUAUGAAUUAAUCAAGAGGUAUAAAUUAAAGUUUGCUUUUAACUUUGUUACAGUAGACAACAGAACAAUGAUGCAUGGAAAGUUAUACAGAUAAAGGCAGAUAAAGUUGUACUGAUAAAUACAAAACUUAAAUACAAAUACAGAUCAAUAAGUUCCAUUUACAGUGACAACAGUUGAUUUGGCCUACCUCUGCUCCUUAACUCCCAAUCACUGUCUACCUCAGGGGUUGGCAACCGUUUUUGUGUGGAGUGCCAAUUUACCCUAACAUUUCUAACGAUCUGCCAGUUAUGAUUUUCAUAUGUGCCACUUGUGUCUAUUGAAUAUCUAAUUGCCCACAAACGGAAUAAUUCCAUAUCUUGCUAAACAGCACCAAGGGCUUGAUCUUGGAACACAGAUUCUCUUGGUGAAUGAUGCAAUUAAGUGAUAAUGCUCGAUAAGCCGGUGUUUGGAGGAUAUAUUGGUAUGGAUUACCAACAUAUUCAAAUACUGAUUGACAUAUUUUAAUUAAAUGUUAACUUAUUCAUACUAUUUCAUCCUUUGACAAGAUACAGUCCUGACACAAAUCUAGGGUUGCUACCCAAGCUGGCUGGUCGUUCGUUCUAUCGGUUUGGUUGCUAGAGACGUGACCCAGUUGUUCAGUCUUUUUGUUCUGUAUCUAAGUUCGUUCUAAAUGUUCAAUUACCAUACUGGCUGGCAACGUUCUUAUCCCUUGCUUGCUAGCUAGACAACUACAACUAACUUAGUCACAUCCCCAAAAAGAAUAACAACAGUAGCUGCAUUUGCAUUUGUUUAAUCUGUUUUCUAGUAAAAUGUAUUUGGAUAUAUCCAUAACAGUGAGCUAAUGGCAUAGAAAAUGUGCUCUCUCACACUGUUGUUCAGAGGAGCUAGCCAACAACACUGUUAACACAAUCACUUCAAACACUGAAGAUGUAAAGACUGCAAACUAGCUGCACUUUGUUUCGUUUGACCUUUUUUCAAUUUGCAUUUCUUUGUAUAUAUCCAUUUAAAAUUAUGCCAGGUGAUUCAUGAUUUCGACUGGCUGAGGAACGCUGCCUGCCUGUCUGUCUGUCUUGUCCCAACUCCCAACCCCUAAAUGUUCAUUACUAUGUCAACUGCAUUUAUUUUCAGCAAACUUAACAUGUGUAAAUAUUUGUAUGAACAUAACAAGAUUCAACAACUGAGACAUAAACUGAACAAGUUCCACAGACAUGUGAGUAACAGAAAUGGAAGAAUGUGUCCAUGAACAAAG
RNAcentral lists this long non-coding RNA (3580 nucleotides) under Salmo salar (Atlantic salmon). Its description in RNAcentral is "lncRNA (ENSSSAG00000097276.1)". Lineage: Eukaryota; Metazoa; Chordata; Actinopteri; Salmoniformes; Salmonidae. The record is from RNAcentral.